Molecule: transfer RNA, 103 nt
Organism: Chaetomium globosum CBS 148.51
Lineage: Eukaryota; Fungi; Ascomycota; Sordariomycetes; Sordariales; Chaetomiaceae
Rfam family: tRNA
About the family: Transfer RNA (tRNA) molecules are approximately 80 nucleotides in length. Their secondary structure includes four short double-helical elements and three loops (D, anti-codon, and T loops). Further hydrogen bonds mediate the characteristic L-shaped molecular structure. tRNAs have two regions of fundamental functional importance: the anti-codon, which is responsible for specific mRNA codon recognition, and the 3' end, to which the tRNAs corresponding amino acid is attached (by aminoacyl-tRNA synthetases). tRNAs cope with the degeneracy of the genetic code in two manners: having more than one tRNA (with a specific anti-codon) for a particular amino acid; and 'wobble' base-pairing, i.e. permitting non-standard base-pairing at the 3rd anti-codon position.
Source: Rfam
GGCAAGGUGGCCGAGCGGUCUAAGGCGCCACGUUAAGGUGUUCAACCCUUAAUCAGAAUCCGUGGUCUCGAAAGGGGCGUGAGUUCGAAUCUCACCCUUGUCA